GUGAACGAGGUGUGGGCAGUGUAGAAGCCGUCUGUGCCGGAGCAAACGCGAUAAGUUCACCGCCUGGGGAGUACGGUCGCAAGGCUAAAACCCAAAGGAAUUGACGGGGGCCCGCACAAGCAGCGGAGCGUGUGGUUUAAUUCGAUGCAACGCGAAGAACCUUACCUGGGCUUGACAUGUACGUAGUAGUGAAGGGAAACCGGAACGAGCCUUCGGGCAGCGUAGACAGGUGCUGCAUGGCUGUCGUCAGCUCGUGUCGUGAGAUGUUGGGUUAAGUCCCGCAACGAGCGCAACCCGUGUUGCUAGUUACAAGUGUCUAGCGAGACUGCCGGUAACAAGCCGGAGGAAGGUGCGGAUGAUGUCAAGUCAGCAUGGCCUAUAUGUCCAGGGCUACACACACGCUACAAUGGCUGGUACAAAGAGAAGCGAAAGGGAGACCUGAAGCGAAUCUCAUCAAAGCCAGUCAUAGUUCGGAUUGCAGGCUGCAACUCGCCUGCAUGAAGUCGGAGUUGCUAGUAACCGCAGGUCAGCAAUACUGCGG
This 541-nucleotide ribosomal RNA is filed under the name uncultured bacterium. RNAcentral's name for it is "bacterial SSU rRNA". It matches the Rfam family "Bacterial small subunit ribosomal RNA", at positions 811 to 1362 of the family's 1533-position model. The record is from RNAcentral.